This 129-nucleotide small nuclear RNA is filed under the name Chinchilla lanigera (long-tailed chinchilla). RNAcentral describes it as "U4 spliceosomal RNA (ENSCLAG00000020797.1)". It matches the Rfam family "U4 spliceosomal RNA". From Rfam's summary of the family: U4 small nuclear RNA (U4 snRNA) is a component of the major U2-dependent spliceosome. The record is from RNAcentral. Lineage: Eukaryota; Metazoa; Chordata; Mammalia; Rodentia; Chinchillidae.
AGCUUUGUGCAGUGGUAGUAUCAUAGUCAAUGAGGUUUAUCCAAGGGGCGAUUUUUGCUAAAAGACAUCUCAUCCAUUUGGUCAUUUAUUCAAUGAAAAUACAUUGAGCAUCUAAUAUACAGUGACACU